Molecule: ribosomal RNA, 227 nt
Filed under: uncultured Pasteurellales bacterium
Lineage: Bacteria; Pseudomonadati; Pseudomonadota; Gammaproteobacteria; Pasteurellales
Description: partial 16S ribosomal RNA
Rfam family: Bacterial small subunit ribosomal RNA
Source: RNAcentral
GGGUGAGUAAUGCUUGGGAAUCUGGCUUAUGGAGGGGGAUAACUACGGGAAACUGUAGCUAAUACCGCGUAGUAUCGAGAGAUGAAAGUGCGGGACCGUAAGGCCGCAUGCCAUGAGAUGAGCCCAAGUGGGAUUAGGUAGUUGGUGGGGUAAAGGCCCACCAAGCCUGCGAUCUCUAGCUGGUCUGAGAGGAUGGCCAGCCACACUGGAACUGAGACACGGUCCAG